AGUGAACGCUGGCGGUAGGCCUAACACAUGCAAGUCGAACGGCAGCACAGAGGAGCUUGCUCCUUGGGUGGCGAGUGGCGGACGGGUGAGGAAUACAUCGGAAUCUACUCUGUCGUGGGGGAUAACGUAGGGAAACUUACGCUAAUACCGCAUACGACCUACGGGUGAAAGCAGGGGAUUUUCGGACCUUGCGCGAUUGAAUGAGCCGAUGUCGGAUUAGCUAGUUGGCGGGGUAAAGGCCCACCAAGGCGACGAUCCGUGGCUGGUCUGGGAGGCUGAUCAGCCGCACUGGAGCUGAGCCACGGGCCAGACUCCUACGGGAGGCAGCAGUGGGGAAUAUUGGACAAUGGGCGCAAGCCUGAUCCAGCCAUACCGCGUGGGUGAAGAAGGCCUUCGGGUUGUAAAGCCCUUUUGUUGGGAAAGAAAUCCAUCUGGUUAAUACCCGGGUGGGAUGACGGUACCCAAAGAAUAAGCACCGGCCAACCUCGUGCCAGCCGCCGCGGUAA
RNAcentral lists this ribosomal RNA (506 nucleotides) under uncultured bacterium. RNAcentral's name for it is "partial 16S ribosomal RNA". It matches the Rfam family "Bacterial small subunit ribosomal RNA", at positions 29 to 523 of the family's 1533-position model. The record is from RNAcentral.